Molecule: long non-coding RNA, 3018 nt
Organism: Panthera uncia (snow leopard)
Lineage: Eukaryota; Metazoa; Chordata; Mammalia; Carnivora; Felidae
Exons: 2
Source: RefSeq, a predicted model, not a curated record
CCCCCCGGCUUUCAAUCUGUUUAAAUGCCAUUUAAAUGUAAAGUAUGUUCCAAGUAUGCUGUUAUUAAUACUAGUGAAGGCAUCAAAUUUGUUACUGAUUCUCUCCCUAAAACAGGUAUCCGGGGAUCCUUAACAUAACUGCCCCUGUGUUUCCAUGUUGGUUACUUGUUUGUACAGGAUAAUUGCUUACACAGGUUCAGGAGUGUCUGGAUUUCAGUUACAUGUCUCUGAGUUUCAAAGCAGGUUGAGAACUGCUAGAGGACGUUAGAGACUUCUUGUUAGAAAAUCUGUACAUAAUACGAAUCCCAGGCACCCCUAAACAAGGAAUCUUUAUAGCCCAGAUCCUGCAGCUUUGUCUAAUGUUGGCCGACACCGGUCCCGGGAGCUGUAGGAGGUCAGACGCACGGGUCCCCCUCCUCUGGGGGAGCCGGUGACCAGGAGUCAUGAGGUCCCGGGUCCUGUGCUGCCCUCUGCUGUCAGAUCUUUGGAGCAGAGCCCAGUGGGGCGCAUGGGUCCUUCCUGGUCUGGGCAGACGAGAGCGACAACACUGCGAAAUUCUUCUGUGACUGAAGAGGGAGGGCGGGAGCAUGAGGUCACAGAAAACAGGUGACUCCCGUGAAGAUGUGACUGCCCGAGCAGGUGAGAUAGGUUGUCCCCUUGCUACGUGAGUCGGGCGGAGGGGAGAAGAGGAUUUCUGUUUUAGAAGGUGGCUGUUCAGAGCAGCAGUGGCCUAGGUGCGGAUUUAAUUUCAGAAGGGAUGUGGGGUUUCUGAAGAAGGUUGGAGAGGCAAGUUUGGAGAGAAAUGAGAGGAACGUUCUGUGGUUAUAAGUGUGGGGCAUGAGGAGGGGCUGCCGUGGGGGCGGUGACUCGGCAGCGAUGGGCACGGCCGGCUGAGGACGGGAGCCUGCCCACAGCGGCGGGCUUCACCGCCCUUGAUGAAGCCUUUGUGGAGGGACCGGCCAACUGGGUGGUGAACGGGCACCGGCGUGCGGAAGGGGAGCUGGCAGUAAGAGGCUGGACCUGGAGAGGACUUGGGGAGUGGUGGGGUUGACCUGACCUAAGCUGGGGGUGAGGUGGGCAUCGCUCUGCGUCUGGGCUGCUAUUUGGAGUCAGGAGAAGCAAAACAGUCCUGGCACCCGGCGUGCUGGUUCCCUGAGUGGAAAUCCCUGGGAAGAUGCUGGACGCCAGAGUCGAACAGGCGAUCUGCAGUCACCCAAAAAACCUGUUGGGUCAAGUCAACAUACAGAUAAGCCUGGUGACCCCUCCAGGGCAUGUCUUGCGUGAGCACCUGUGAGCACCAUUGGUCAUGAUGAACUAUAGCCAAAUACAAGCUAGCCAAGUUUAUGUCAUAACGAGGUUGAAGAAGGGUCAUAAAAGGUGCAAGGGAGUCAGGAGCAUUGGUGAUCGGUCAGCAAACUGUAGCCAAUAGGCCAAGAAUGGUUUUUAGUUUCUAAUGGUGAAAAAUGAUUUUGUGACACGUGAAAAGUAUCUGAAAUUCACACUUCGGCGUCCAUAAAUAAAGGUUUAUUGGAAUAUGGCCACACCCAUUGCUUGUAUAAUGGCUGCUUUCUCUAUCGAUACAGUGGCAGAGUUGAGUAGUUGUGACAGAGACCGUGUGGCCUGCAAAGUCGGGAGAUAUUUACCGUCUGGCCCUUUCCAGAGAAGGUCUUCUGAAGCUCAGAGAUAAGAUUUGUGACACGUGGGACGCCUACGUGACUUGGGGGACGUCAUUCACAGCGCCCUCCGGCAGUCGUCUCUCAGGAGGAAUAGAUUCUUGGCGUCUAUUAAAACGAGAUCAGUAUCUCACGGAGUUCAGUAAAGGCUAAACCGAACAAACCCCAACAACCAAACCAUAACCACCAGAGCAGAGAGAGAAGAGAUGCACAGGGGCGUGAUAGGGCAGAAGAAGCGCGCUAGGCCCCCCGGCGGGCGGACGUCACGGUGGACCAAGGUUGAACAAAAGUGAGCAGUCUUGCGUUCUAACUGUGCAGGCUGGACAUUGGACAAGUCCCUUCUAGAGUUUAGAAUGUGAAGAAGCCAGAGAAAAACAAGGAUUUGAAGUCACAGACUCUCCAAAGUGGGUCAGGUUUAGUGAAAGCGGGGGACACGUUUACUCCAGUCAUCUGACGGUAUGACAUGAAGAGAGCUUGCUGGUUGCCCCCUUGUGUGCAGGAAGGGAUUGUCAGGGAGCCAGGAAGAGGAGUGUGGCCAGGAGAGAAGGCCUUCCAGGAGGGGAUGGGAUGCUAGCGCCUUUCCAAACCGCGGGAACCCUGGGGUGGCUUGGAUGCAGGGCCCCAGUUCCCUUCCAGGGUGAGGGUGUUUCAGCUGGGUUGUGAAGGGCCCUCUCUUCUGGAAUGGGUCCUGCCGCAUGAUUCUCAGCCUCUGCUUCUCUCCCAGGCAUCAUUCAUGCCAGAGGACUGGUUCGAGAGUGCUUGGCUGAAACGGAGCGGAAUGCCAGAUCCUAGCUGCCUGUUUGCGUGGAAGGUUUUCCGUCUUCUUCCAAGAAGAGAAGUUAUAGCUCAACUCCCACGUUCAGAUGAAACUCUUGUUUUCAAAAUGCAUUGAUUUAGAAGAUGCACGGAAAAGAUACCUAUCUCACAGCAAAGAUACCAGUGUCUCCCUUUUAUCUUCCCUUUUGAAUACCGUUAUGUUACCCAGAUUGUUCUUCGUUCCUUUUCAUAAGCUAAUACAACAACUCCAGGGUUUUGUUUCUAGUGCAUACGUUUGCCACAUGGUGUGGAUUCUGCUUAAUGUAACUUCUUUUGUGCUUAAGCAUUUGCCUGCAUGACUAUUAGUGCUUUGAGGUCAAAUUUAAAAAUGCACAAGUUAUAAAUACAGAAGAAAGAGCAACCUACCAAACCUAACAAGAACCCCCGAAAAUAUUCCUACUAAGACUGUGUGUGGAUUUCAGUUCUGCCUUUCGUGUAAGUUGAUCCAAACAUCUGGAAGAAAAUGAUUAAAACUGUUUGCAUCUUUGUAUUUAUUACUUGAUGUAAUAAAGCUUAUUUUCAUUAACAA